GGAGCCCCCCUGGUGCCAAGGUAUGAGAAAAAUUUUUAUUCAUUGAUAAUCUGUUCCCUCAGUUUAGUAAUCCGUUCCCUCAAUUUAGUAAACCGUACCCUCAGUUUAGUAAUCCGUACCCUCAAUUUAGUAAACUGUACCCUCAAUUUAGUAAUCCGCACCCUCAAUUUAGUAAUCCGUACCCUCAAUUUUAGUAAUCCAUACCCUCAGUUUAGUAAACUGUACCCUCAGUUUAGUAAUCCGUACCCUCAGUUUAACAAAUGUCUGGGGCUCCGUAUAUCUGUCAAGUGAAUUAAGUUCUAUUUGUAUGUUAUAUUCUUACUGGUGUGAAUUCUGUGUAUACAUUGUCAUGUCGUGAUAUAUCCUACAUCCCAUUUUUACAACUGAAAGGCAAUAUUGCUGUAAUUCGAGGGGUUGAUCAUUAUAUAGCAGUACUAGCAGGACCGGCUACAAUUAGCCUGCAUGUUUCCUUUCACUUUCCGUGCUUUUAAGCAUUCGCUCGCUGCAAUCACGCUAUCAUGACAACCUUCUUAUCCCCGAUGUGUUGACGUUAGUGUGUUUUUUUUUUCUGGCACAUAGCGGCCACCAAAGGGGUCCUAGUUGAGUUGAGUUCUCGCCGCAGAAGUGAAAUGCGUCUGUGAUGGAUCAAGCAAUGAUGGAUUAAAAUUUUCGAAAAUUCCUUCAAGAGCAAAGAAGGUUAGAUGAUGAUGUCAUUGCCACCUUUAUUGAAGAGAAGAUUGAUUGCUACGCUGUCCAUGCAAUGACUCUAUUCAUACCAGCCAGAGUGACUACUUGUUUACACUGAGUUGACAUUGUUUACAUUACAUUUGCACAUUGUUUUUGACAAAAGAAGCCCUUUUGGUGUGGUUACAC
This is a long non-coding RNA of Phyllopteryx taeniolatus (common seadragon), 873 nucleotides long. RefSeq lists it as uncharacterized. The transcript has 3 exons. Lineage: Eukaryota; Metazoa; Chordata; Actinopteri; Syngnathiformes; Syngnathidae. The record is from RefSeq and is a predicted model, not a curated record.